Molecule: ribosomal RNA, 402 nt
Filed under: uncultured bacterium
Lineage: Bacteria
Description: bacterial SSU rRNA
Rfam family: Bacterial small subunit ribosomal RNA
Source: RNAcentral
UGGGGAAUAUUGCACAAUGGGGGAAACCCUGAUGCAGCGACGCCGCGUGAGUGAAGAAGUAUUUCGGUAUGUAAAGCUCUAUCAGCAGGGAAGAGAAUGACGGUACCUGACUAAGAAGCCCCGGCUAACUACGUGCCAGCAGCCGCGGUAAUACGUAGGGGGCAAGCGUUAUCCGGAUUUACUGGGUGUAAAGGGAGCGUAGACGGCUGGACAAGUCUGAAGUGAAAGCCCAGGGCUCAACCCUGGGACUGCUUUGGAAACUGCCCGGCUAGAGUGCUGGAGAGGUAAGUGGAAUUCCUAGUGUAGCGGUGAAAUGCGUAGAUAUUAGGAGGAACACCAGUGGCGAAGGCGGCUUACUGGACAGUAACUGACGUUGAGGCUCGAAAGCGUGGGGAGCAAACA